AUAGACAUGCAAGUCGAGCGAACAGAAGGGAGCUUGCUCCCGGAUGUUAGCGGCGGACGGGUGAGUAACACGUGGGUAACCUGCCUGUAAGACUGGGAUAACUCCGGGAAACCGGAGCUAAUACCGGAUAGUUCCUUGAACCGCAUGGUUCAAGGAUGAAAGACGGUUUCGGCUGUCACUUACAGAUGGACCCGCGGCGCAUUAGCUAGUUGGUGGGGUAAUGGCUCACCAAGGCGACGAUGCGUAGCCGACCUGAGAGGGUGAUCGGCCACACUGGGACUGAGACACGGCCCAGACUCCUACGGGAGGCAGCAGUAGGGAAUCUUCCGCAAUGGACGAAAGUCUGACGGAGCAACGCCGCGUGAGUGAUGAAGGUUUUCGGAUCGUAAAGCUCUGUUGUUAGGGAAGAACAAGUGCGAGAGUAACUGCUCGCACCUUGACGGUACCUAACCAGAAAGCCACGGCUAACUACGUGCCAGCAGCCGCGGUAAUACGUAGGUGGCAAGCGUUGUCCGGAAUUAUUGGGCGUAAAGGGCUCGCAGGCGGUUUCUUAAGUCUGAUGUGAAAGCCCCCGGCUCAACCGGGGAGGGUCAUUGGAAACUGGGAAACUUGAGUGCAGAAGAGGAGAGUGGAAUUCCACGUGUAGCGGUGAAAUGCGUAGAGAUGUGGAGGAACACCAGUGGCGAAGGCGACUCUCUGGUCUGUAACUGACGCUGAGGAGCGAAAGCGUGGGGAGCGAACAGGAUUAGAUACCCUGGUAGUCCACGCCGUAAACGAUGAGUGCUAAGUGGUUAGGGGGUUUCCGCCCCUUAGUGCUGCAGCUAACGCAUUAAGCACUCCGCCUGGGGGAGUACGGUCGCAAGACUGAAACUCAAAGGAAUUGACGGGGGCCCGCACAAGCGGUGGAACAUGUGGUUUAAUUCGAAGCAACGCGAAGAACCUUACCAGGUCUUGACUCCU
Molecule: ribosomal RNA, 960 nt
Filed under: Bacillus sp. (in: firmicutes)
Lineage: Bacteria; Bacillati; Bacillota; Bacilli; Caryophanales; Bacillaceae
Description: bacterial SSU rRNA
Rfam family: Bacterial small subunit ribosomal RNA
Source: RNAcentral